Molecule: ribosomal RNA, 255 nt
Filed under: uncultured bacterium
Lineage: Bacteria
Description: partial 16S ribosomal RNA
Rfam family: Bacterial small subunit ribosomal RNA
Source: RNAcentral
UACAGAGGGUGCGAGCGUUAAUCGGAAUUACUGGGCGUAAAGCGUGCGUAGACGGCUAUCUAAGUCGGGUGUGAAAGCCCCGGGCUCAACCUGGGAAUUGCAUUCGAGACUGAAUAGCUAGGGUACGGUAGAGGGAAGUGGAAUUUCCGGUGUAGCGGUGAAAUGCGUAGAUAUCGGAAGGAACAUCAGUGGCGAAAGCGACUUCCUGGACCAGUACCGACGUUCAGGCACGAAAGCCGUGGGGAGCAAACAGGA